UACGUAGGUGGCGAGCGUUGUCCGGAUUUACUGGGCGUAAAGAGCUCGUAGGCGGUGUGUCACGUCGGCCGUGAAAACCUGGGGCUUAACUCUGGGCGUGCGGUCGAUACGGGCAUCACUAGAGUUCGGCAGGGGAGACUGGAAUUCCUGGUGUAGCGGUGAAAUGCGCAGAUAUCAGGAGGAACACCGGUGGCGAAGGCGGGUCUCUGGGCCGAUACUGACGCUGAGGAGCGAAAGCAUGGGGAGCGAACAGG
This 254-nucleotide ribosomal RNA is filed under the name uncultured bacterium. RNAcentral describes it as "partial 16S ribosomal RNA". It matches the Rfam family "Bacterial small subunit ribosomal RNA", at positions 524 to 776 of the family's 1533-position model. The record is from RNAcentral.